GAUGAACGCUGGCGGCGUGCUUAACACAUGCAAGUCGAACGGAAAGGCCAGUGCUUGCCCUGGUACUCGAGUGGCGAACGGGUGAGUAACACGUGGGUGAUCUGCCCUGUACUUCGGGAUAAGCUUGGGAAACUGGGUCUAAUACCGGAUAGGACAACUUUUUGGAUAUUGUUGUGGAAAGCUUUUGCGGUAUGGGAUGAGCUCGCGGCCUAUCAGCUUGUUGGUGGGGUAAUGGCCUACCAAGGCGUCGACGGGUAGCCGGCCUGAGAGGGUGUACGGCCACAUUGGGACUGAGAUACGGCCCAGACUCCUACGGGAGGCAGCAGUGGGGAAUAUUGCACAAUGGGCGCAAGCCUGAUGCAGCGACGCCGCGUGGGGGAUGAAGGCCUUCGGGUUGUAAACUCCUUUCGCUAGGGACAAAGCUUUUUUGUGACGGUACCUGGAGAAGAAGCACCGGCUAACUACGUG
This 468-nucleotide ribosomal RNA is filed under the name uncultured bacterium. Its description in RNAcentral is "partial 16S ribosomal RNA". It matches the Rfam family "Bacterial small subunit ribosomal RNA", at positions 28 to 507 of the family's 1533-position model. The record is from RNAcentral.